Small nucleolar RNA from Solea solea (common sole), 134 nucleotides. RefSeq annotates it as small nucleolar RNA SNORA68. The transcript has a single exon. The record is from RefSeq and is a predicted model, not a curated record. NCBI's taxonomy places the organism in Eukaryota, Metazoa, Chordata, Actinopteri, Pleuronectiformes, Soleidae.
UUUGCAGCCAAACCCAAAGAUCACGUCUUCUCUCAGUGGUGUGAUUUUGUCUGGUUUGCAGACAUUGACCUGAUCCUUGUCGCCUUUCUCUGACGCUGCAGUGUCUUUGAAAGUGAAUUCAAGGACCAACAGAU